GCCCAAAACCCUAACAAUGUCCUCCCUCUCGAGACCAGCGAGAAAACCUCAGUAGAAGAAUCCAUGCCCAACAAGAAUGAGCAAGAACAAGAUCCUACCUUUGUCCCCGAGUCCGAAAACGGAUAUGGCUUAUAUGGUCACGAGACCACCUACAAUAACAACAAAGAAGAGUUCAACAACAACAACAAGUACGAUGAAAAAUUCAACGGUGAGACUUUCUCAACUCCAAGCUUGAGCGAGACCGAAGAGUCUUACGACAGCUACGACGAGAAGUACCCGAAGAAGACAGAGAGCUACGACAGUAACGGUUACAACAACGAAGAGGUCAACAACAAGUACAAUGAAAAUGUCAAAGAAGAGUCUUUCCCCGAGAACAAUGAAGACAAGAGAAGCUUCUACAACUCCAAUGCUUACGGGACAGAGUUAGAACGUGAAACACCGUACAAAGGUUACAGCCACAAUUUGGAGAGACAAGGCAUGAGUGACACAAGAUACAUGGCGAAAGGUAACUACUAUUACGACCUUUACAACGACAGAAACCACGGCCAUUUCUACCGGAAACCUCACCGUAAAAGCCCCGCCGGUUAUUAUUCUUCUCCGGCGACUGAGAAUAACUACGACCAGACGUAUUCGUACAACAACGAGGAGGAGAAGAGCUUCAAGGAUCCGUACAACUCCAAGUGGGAGAAUAACAUGAUGAACAAACAGCCUGAGGAGUUUGUUGAGGAGCAAGGAGAUCAGUUCAAGCCUUGAUGAUGAUUUGUUAUUUGAAUUUCUCUCA
This 781-nucleotide long non-coding RNA is filed under the name Eutrema salsugineum. RNAcentral's name for it is "long non-coding RNA (ESAL_LNC000588)". The record is from RNAcentral. Lineage: Eukaryota; Viridiplantae; Streptophyta; Magnoliopsida; Brassicales; Brassicaceae.